RNAcentral lists this long non-coding RNA (384 nucleotides) under Vigna radiata. RNAcentral describes it as "long non-coding RNA (VRAD_LNC014881)". Lineage: Eukaryota; Viridiplantae; Streptophyta; Magnoliopsida; Fabales; Fabaceae. The record is from RNAcentral.
CGCCAUUCUCUGUCAAAAGAAUGAGAAUGAAAUCUUAACAAGGCUAUUUAUAGCUGAGGAGCGUCACAGAAAACAGGACCAGACCCAGCGGACAACCGCCCGGCGGUACACUUAUGUUAUCCGGCGGUUUGCCCCUAAUCGCGCCACUGCCUGGCGGUAGGGGGCCACCACCCGGCGGUUUGCCUCUAAUCGCAAAUCAGCCCAGCGCCCACGCCAUGUGCCUUCUCCUCGCCUUGGAACGCCCAACGAUGAAUUUUGCCGCCGGGCGGUUUCUUGACUCUUCAUUUCUUCAAUUUUCUUCCUCUAUCUUGAGUCUAAGACCUUCAUCUUCAACCCCAAUCUUCGCUUUCAUCAAAAUCACUACAAAACAAUGCAAAACAAGCA